Molecule: long non-coding RNA, 14805 nt
Filed under: Lathyrus oleraceus (garden pea)
Lineage: Eukaryota; Viridiplantae; Streptophyta; Magnoliopsida; Fabales; Fabaceae
Description: Pisum sativum (pea) long non-coding RNA (PSAT_LNC030216)
Source: RNAcentral
AGUGUUGUGGUAGUGAGGUCGAAUUUUUGUAAAGGGGGUGAGGAAGGGUUUGUUUCAGAGUUGUGAGGUUCAGAGGGAGUUGGGAUAGAGAUAGUAGGUUCGGAGGGAGUUGGGAUAGAGAUAGUGGGUUUAGAAGGAGUAUAGGUAAAAGAUGGUUGAGGUAGAGAGGAAGAUAUUUGCUUUAAAAUAGAAGAUAAAGGAGUUUCAGGGAGAUGAGACUUACUAGAGGCAGAAGAGUCUAGAGGCACAUGCGUUCUGGUUGAAGGUUCUCCCAGCUUCAGAGUUUUCUUCUUCGACUUCCUCUCAGAGGGCUCUCUCAUCCUAUUCAUCAAGUUGGGUGGAUGUUAUGGUAUUCAAUCCACAGAGAAAUUUGAGAUGUCAACACCUUAAUACGCCAAGUCUUGGAGGUAAUGAGCAAUAACCUCUAGGGGAUCUAUCUUGGAGAAAAGAUAUAUUGCAUGAGGUAUCUUCCUUUGAUCCUUAAAGCCUCACAAGAGGUGUCCAGAGUGGGUUUGACUAAGACUCUGUCAAUGACCCUCAUGCUCUUCAUAUUUCUAGAAUUCAGAAGCUUACCAACAUCCAGAGUUACGUCUUCCAUCAUAUUGAUGAAGAUCAAAUGGUCCACUAUCCCACUCUCUAUCAGGACGUCAAAGAUGAGUCUUCCUAGAGGUGUGUAGUUUAUGGGCUUCAUAUGUUUUCUUGUAUCCCUAACUGAAUCCCUCAGAUACUUGAAAGCAGGGAGGGCAGAUUCAACUUCAACCCCUUGUGGAUGCAAUACAAGAUACACUUCUGAUCUGUAUUGAUGUAGUCAAAUGAGUUUGAAGUUGGACGAUGGUGAAUGGUGCCAAGAAUAAUCUUCAACCAGACCCCCAAAUUCAGGUGAAGUUCCUUGUUCUUGGAGGUUUUCCCUUCUGUAUUCUGUUUGAAGAUUGUGGGGACUAUCUCCUGAGAAAUGUAUUUUUCCCUAGGGUUGAUAUUAUAGAUCCUUCUGCCCUCAGUUCUCUCCAUGUCCAGAAGCUUGGUGAUAGACUUUUCAGGGAUGACCAUUUUAACGCCCAGGACAUAAGAAACAAUGCAAUGGUCAUCACAAUCUACAAAUCUCUAGAUUUCCUUAACGAGGAAGGUUUCGACAGGACCGUAGAGCCUCUGGAAAUAAUGUCCUCGGCCUUACUUCUCAAGUUCUACAGUGAGAUCAAUGCCAUUACGCUUUAGGUUGUCAAAGUCCAUUAGAGAUUCACAGAGAACUUCCAACUUUUCAAAUGGCGUUGCAAGGUUAAUGUGAGGGGGUGAUCAAGAACAUGAGGUUCCUUGUAAGUUGUUAUUGAGGUUCUAGCAGUUUGAGGAGUUUUUUGUUGUGGGACUUCAGUACGUUGUUCAGUUGCUUCCUUUUGUUGAGAAUAGUUGUAGACCUGUUGUUGUCGAGAAUCCAUUUGGAGAAGAUGAAGAUUGUUGUUGUUGAUGAAGGUUGAAGAAUAUUGAAGAAGUUGCAGAGAAUUUGAGCGCAAGAGGGUUUGUGUUGGUUUGUGAGUGAAAAGUGUGAAAUGAGAAAUAUGAAAAAAAAUAUAUACACGACAUUUAGCAUGAAAAACAACAGCGUUUAAGGAGAAUAGAAAACAUCAAAAUUAAUUAGUUCAGAAUUUUGAGUUGACACGCUUGGGGAGAAUUAAUUGCAGUUAAUGGUGGUUGUCUAAUCUCAAGAAUAUGCAUAGUGCUCGAGGAGAUCUCAACAACUUGGCUCUUGAGUUCUGAGUUAGACAAUUGUCUAGAAGAUCCAAAGUCACACGUUUGAGAAACCACGUGUUGAUGUUUCUGACAUCAAGAAUACCAAAGGGUUUCUGACUCAGAGAGAUUCUAAUCCAGAUAACAUCUAACUGGUAGAAGUAUCAGAAUCAGAACCAGAUGACCAACAAUGAUUAAGUCAAAGUCUAUUUUAACAGAUCAAAAGAGAAGCACGAGUUCAAAAUUAUUCUGGGCAAUCUGCCAUGUUUAAAUGUUUCAGAUUGAAGGAAAAUCUAUCUUCAGCUAAUGGUUUUGUGAAGAUAUCAACCCAUUGAUGGCCUGUAUCUAUGAAUUUUAAACUUAUUACCCCUUUCUAAACAUAUUCUCUGAUAAAAUGAUGUUUAACUUCUAUGUGCUUCACGCUGGAAUGUAAAAUAGGGUUCUUACUUAAGCAUAUAUGGCAGCAGUAUUGUCAAAAAAGAUAGGGAUGUUACUCUCAUAUAUCUGAAAGUCCUCAAGCUGGUUUUUCAUCCAGAGCAUAUGAGUAUUGCAUAAUGAAGCUAAGACUUAUUAUGCUUCUGCAGUUGAGAGUGUAAUGGUUGAUUGUCUUUUGCUAGCCCAUGAGAUGAGGUUUCCUCCCAGAAGUUGACAGUUCCCAGAUGUGCUUUUACGUUCCAAUCUGUAUCCAGCAUAAUCUGCUUUAUAAUACCCAGAAAGCAUAUACUCUGAUGUUUUCUUAUACCAGGUUAGGUGUUCCUUUCAGAACCUUAGGAUUCUCUUAACAACAGUUAAGUGAGUUUCCCUUGGAUCUGACUGGAAUCUGGCACAGAGACACACGCUGAAUAAUAUAUUUGGAUGUGUAGCAGUCAGAUAAAGAAGAGAACCUAUCAUACAACGAUAGAGUUUUUGACAAACCUUUUGACUUACCUCUUCUUUCUCCAGAAUGCAAGUGGGGUGCAUGGGAGUCUUUGUUGGUUUGCUUUCUGACAUUUCAAACUUCUUCAGAAUGUCUUUUAUGUCUUUUCUUUGAUAUACAUAAGUAGCAUCUUAUGUUUGAUUGAUUUGAAUUCCCAUAAAGAACUUUAGUUCUUGCAUCAAACUCAUUUCAAAUUCAGACUGCAUUAGCUCAGAAAAUUCUUUACAGACAAAGGGGUUAGCAAAACCAAAAAUUAUGUCAUCAACAUAUAUCUGACAUAUCAUAAGGUAGUUUUUGAUGUUUUUACAGAAUAGAGUGGAAUUGACUUUGCCUCUGAUAAAAUCAUUUUCCAGAAGAAAAGAACUUAGUCUUUCAUACCAAGCACUGGGAGCUUGUUUCAGACCAUAAAGAGAUUUUUUCAGUUUAAAAACAUGUUCUUUACAUUUUGAGUUUUCAAAAAUAGGAGGCUGAUGAACAUACACCUCUUCUGAAAUAUAUCCAUUCAGAAACGCACUUUUGACAUCAAUCUGAUAUAGUUUGAUGGAGUAAUCUGCAGCAACUGAUACAUGUAGAUGGAUAUAUUCUAACCUGACGACUGGAGAAAAGGUUUCAUUGUAGUCAAUACCUUCUUGUUGAUUGUAACCUUGUGCCACCAGUCAUGCUUUAUUUCUGACCACUUCACCCUUUUCAUUGAGUUUGUUUCUGUACACCCAUUUGGUUCUAAUCACGUGGGUUCCCUUGAGUUUUGGUACAAGAUCCCAGACAUCAUUCUUUGCAAAUUUAUCAAGUUCUUCUUCCAUUUCCAGAAUCCAUUCUUUGUCUUGAAGUGCUUCUUCACAGGAUGUUGGCUCUAGCACAGAUACUAGUCCCAGAAGGGUUUCUUCAGAAUCUUUGAAUGUUGAUCUCGUUAUGACACGUUCGUUUUUGUUCCCCAAAAUCAAUUCUUCAAAAAAGUUUUGUAUUUCUUGAUCUUUUCUAAUUUAUUGUGUCUUUAGGUGCUUCUGACGUUCCCUUUUCUGCUUCUUCAGAUUCUGCAAAAUUUUCAACUAGCUUUGACUUUUCAGAGUCAAGCUUAUCAUCAAAUAUGACAUGUAUUGAUUCUUUCACAAUUAGUGUUUAUGUAUUGUAUACUCUAUAACCUUUAGAGUGUUCUGAGUAUCCCAACAUAAUACAUUUUUGUGCUUUAGAGUCAAACUUGUUCAGAUUAUCUUUAGUAUUUAGGAUAAAACAAGGACAUCCAAAAGGAUGAAAAUAGGAAAUGUUGGGUUUUCUUCCCUUACACAAUUCAUAAGGAGUCUUCUCUAGAAUAGGUCUAAUAGAGAUUCUAUUCUAAAUAUAACACAUUGUAUUCACAGCUUCAACCCAGAAGUGCUUAGCUAUGUUUGUUUCAUUGAUCAUGGUUCUGGGCAUUUCUUGGAGAGUCAUAUCCUUCCUUUCUACAACUCAAUCAUGGGAUAUUCCAUUAGAAUCAAAAAGCUCUUCAAAAAUUUUGUUUUCAAAUUCGCCACCAUGAUGACUUCUGACUCUAAUGAUUUUAGAGUCAAAUUCAUUUUGCACUUUUGAGCAGAAACUCAUGAACACAGAAUGUGACUAAUCCUUGUGUCUUAGGAAUCUUACCCAUGUCCAACGACUAUAAUCAUCAACAAUGACAAGUCCAUACUUUUUACCAUUUACUGACAUUGUCUUAACAGGUCUAAACAAGUUAAUGUGUAGAAGUUCCAAAGGCUUAGAGGUAGAAACAAAAUUUUUAUUUUUGAAAGUUAUUUAAGAAAAUUUUCCCUUAUAACAUUCCUCAGAAAGAGAAUCUGAAGAAAACUUCAGCUUAGGUAGGCCUCUGACUAACUCAAGUUUAUUUAGCUGCGAAAUUCUCCUCAUGCUAAUGUGACCCAAGCGUCUAUGCCACACUCAUUGCUCUUCAUUUACAGACAUUAAACAUUUUACAUUUUGAUCUUUUAGAUCUGAAAGCUUAAUUUUGUAGAUGUUGUUCUUCCUCUUACUAGUGAAAAGGACUGUGCCAUUUUUCUAAUUAAUCGCUUUGCACGUUUUUUGAUUAAAGGUUACAUCAUAACCGUUAUCACUUAAUUGACUUAUGGAUAACAAGUUAUGCAUUAAUCCUUCUACGUAAAAAACAUCAGAAAUAGGGGAAGAGAUCCAUUACUAACCGUUCCAGAUCCUCUGAUUCUUCCUUUAUGAUUUCCUCCAAAGCCUACGAAGCCAGCGUCUUUAAGUUCCAGGAUUUAAAACAUAUGCUUUCUUCCUGUCAUGUGUCGCGAGCAUCCAGAGUCCAAGUACCAUGUUUGGUGUUUUAACUCUGUUGCACAAGAUAUCUGCAACAUAUACUAUUUUAUCUUUUGGUACCCAGAAUCUUUUGGGUCCUUUAUGAUUAGUUCUCCCAGAGUUUCUGGAAAAUUUGGGUUUUCUGGCACUAUUAAAUCUUUGUGUUUAUGCAUGUGUGUAAUGAUAAGAAAAAGGAGAUUUGGGUUUGUCUUCUACAAAAGGUAUUUGCUCAUCUUCAUCAGAGUCAUAUCCAAUUCCUUUUUUCUUAUUGUGACUAACACCAUAAAUCAUUGAAGCCAUUUUGCUUCUUUCAAGCCCAUUUUUCAAAAAUUUCUGAAAAGUUUUUUCAUAUUUGUAUAUGAUGGUGUCAGAAGUUGGUGGACCUUUGGAAAGAAUUUCUUCAAGUUUUAAACAUUUUUUGGUUGAAAAUUCAUUUUCUUUUUCAAGGACAAAAAUGUUUCCUUUAAGUUCAAAAACUUCUUUCUCAAGCUUAUCACACUCUUCAACAGUUUCUUCAUGGACCCUUUUUAGGAUCUUGAAUUUAUGUUGAAAAUUCAUUUUCUUUUUCAAGGACAAAAAUGUUUCCUUUAAGUUCAAAAACUUCUUUCUCAAGCUUAUCACACUCUUCAACAGUUUCUUCAUGGACCCUUUUUAGGAUCUUGAAUUUAUGUUGAAGCUUAUGAUAAGAGCUUAAAGAUUCUAAUAAUCAGGCUUCCAGAUCAGAGCAAGAGAAAUCAGAAAAUACCUCUUCGGAGUCAGAUUCUUUUUCGGUUGAACUUCCGGAUGUGGUAGCCAUGAAUGCAACAUUUGCUUGUUCCUCUUCAGAGUCUGAUUCUGAAGCGUCAGAUUCAGAGUCAUCUUAGGUUUCCAUGAGCCCCUUCUUAGUUUUGAAGGAGUUUUUCUUGAAUCCUUCUUUUCUGGAACUAUCUUUCUUGAGCUUUGGGAAUUCAUUUCUGUAGUGUCAUAGUUUUUUACAUUCAUAGCAGGUUACCUCUUUGUUUGGUAUGCCUCUGGAAGUUGACUCAGAACAAUCUCCCUUCUGUCUGGAUCUUCUAAAGUUGUUAUUCCUUUUUCUCCAGAGUUGUUUGACUCUUCUGGAUAAAAGAGAUAACUCUUAUUCAUCAUCAGAAUCUUCAUUUUCAGAGUCAUCAUCAUCUUUUUCUUCAGCUUGAAAGGCUUUGUUCCUUUCUGGCUUUCGUCUUUCUGAUCUGGACUUCAGAGCCGCUGAUUUCCUUUUCUUUUGAAGUUCGUCUUCCUCUAGCUCUAUCUCAUGUCUCCUAAGGGAGAUAAUGAGUUCUUCCAGGCUUAUGUUGUUCAGAUUCUUGGAUGACUUUAAGGCAUUAACCAUAGGUCUCCAUUUCUUUGGAAGACUUCUGAUUAUCUUUUUGACAUGAUCUGCAGUUGUGUAUCCUUUGUCUAGAACCUUGAGUCCUACAACUAAAGUUUGGAAUCUAGAAAACAUUACCUCUAUAGCUUCAUCAUCCUCCAUUCUGAAGGCUUCAUAUUUUUGGAUUAAGGCCAAAGCCUUAGUCUCUUUGACUUGAUUAUUUCCUUCGUGAGUCAUCUUUAAGGAAUCAAGGAUCUCUUUCGUUGUUUCCUUUUGGUGAUUUUUUCGUACUCAUUGUAGGAUAUGUCAUUCAACAGAAUAGUUCUGGCUUUGUGGUGAUUCUUGAAAUCACAUUUUUGAUAAUCAAUCAUUUUACUUCUGGUAAUGACAAUACCAGUAUCAGAUAUAGGUGGUUCAUAACCGUUUAUAACAAUGUCCCAUAGGUCAGCGUCAUAGCCUAGGAAGAAGCUUUCAAUUCUAUCAUUCCAAUAGUCGAAUUUCUUUCCAUCGAACACUAGAGGUUUAACGUUGUAGCUAUCUCUUUCAUUUGUGUUAGCCAUGAUAUUUUUCUCACGAUGGAUCUCUCUACACAGUUAAGUGUUAGAUUCAAAAGUCAAUAUUAGAGCCGAAGCUCUAAUACCAAUUGAAGGUAGAGAAAAACAAGAAAUGGGGGUUUGAAUUAUUUUCACGGACAAUAAUUUUUUUAACAAUGCUACACACACAAAGAUAAUAACAAACAACACAAAAGUUUAUCCUCGUAAACUUGAAAAACAAAGUUACUCUAGUCCACUUGGCCAAGGUGUUUUUUCCUUCAAUAAGGACUUAAUUCAAUAAUCUAGAAAGAUUACAACAAUCGUCUAAGAGUAUAAUGAUCUAUUAGCCCUCUCAAGUCUACAGACUUCACAAGUCACUUGAGGAAAUAUAUAAUGACUAUUUUAGAAUUACAAGAAAGUGUUUAGUGCUUCUAGAUAAGCAAUAUGAACAUAGUAAGAACAAUGAUCAAUGAUCACACUUAGAGCAAUAACUCGUGUGUGAUGACUUAAAGCAAGAAUUUUGUAUAUGACUUAAUUUGGAUGUGCAGAAUUAUUGUGUAAUAGCUUCGUAUCUUGGUAUGAUGAUAGUUAGGCCUUUUUAUAGUGCUUGGAGAUGAUACCGUUGAAUGGAGCAUUGAUGCUGAUAUCUUGCCAAUUAUGGGACUUAAUGACAUUAAUUUUAUUGUCCUUUCCAUAGCAGUUUUUGGAGAGUAUUCAAUAUUUUCCAUAUGGAGAUUCAUACCAUACUUGUAAUACUUCUUUGUUAAGUUCUUGAUUCUGAUAUGUUGGGCGUGAUUCAGAGUGCGCGAAAUUCAGACUCUUUUCUCAUAUCUUGUAUUCUUCAGAUAGUUGUCUGUUGUGUCUUCUUCGGAGGGUCUUGACUGAUCUUCAAUUAGAAAUUCUUCUGAUGUAAGGAUCCUUAGAGUUGUCAUAUGUCUUUAGAUGCAGAGUUUCCAGAGUCUUCAGAUGACAGAUUAUGUGAGUGAUUCUUUUAGACAUGCUUAUCUUCAGCGUCAGAUAAGAUAUCUUUAACUCUGACUUAGCUAUUCUCGCCUUGGUGUGAUGUCAGGUGUUGUUUCAUUAGAUUUAUUUUUUGUUAGAGUCCUGCACACUUAGAAAAUUUUAUUAAGAUACCAAAAUGUUUCACUCUUUGUUAUCAUCAAAACUUAGAGAUAAAUUGCAGAAUCAAAAUCUUGUUCUAACACUUAUCAAACGUUUGUUGUCCAUCAAAUAAUUUUCUUAAAUAAUUUGAAUGAAAAAGGACCAUAGGAGUCUAGAAUUCCGUGGGAACCCUAAAUGAUUGGUUUGAGAUUGAUGUCUCGUUUCUAUUCAAUCAUUCGUCAUUCACUUAUAAAACAAUCCAACAAAUCAAACUCUUUUUCUCGCCGCUGUGUGAUCUUCAAAACCUUUUUCAAACGAAAGAUAUUUUGUCUUGGCAUGAUGCAAAACAAAGCUUCGUUCACAGUCGUGUGAGUUGAGAUAAGUGAAGGUUUCCCGAGAAUGUUAAUAUGUAAAAAUUAAUUUAAUGUGAUGCAAAUGCCUGCUCUUCACCUGUUUUGGGUAAGUAACAUUUUUCCGUGAUUGAAACAAACAUUUUCUACUCAGAGCUAUGUAGCCUUGAGUUCUUCAACGCACCAAAAGAUACGUAGAAGCAAGACCCGUAAUCUCGUCAGGCACAAUAAUAAAAAAACUUUUUUGCGACCCCUUUCUUUUUCUCUUUUCUCUUUUAAUAACUCGAAGAAAACAAAUGACAUAAGUUAACAUUCAAUCGCAAGUAUAACUAAAAGGUUCCCAUUUAGUACAACGGAUGUGAGAAGUGCUAAUACCUUCCCCUUGCAUAAUCGACUCCCGAACCCAAAUAUGGUUGCGACGACCAUUUUCGUUUUUAAAGGUUUUAUUGAUAUUUUUCUUUUCCUUCAUUUGUAUUAAUAAAGUUCGGUGGCGACUUUGUUCCAACAUAUUUUUUCGUGAGCGUGCGAUGCACUUCGCGAAUGAUUGUAUAUUUUGAGGUACGUCACAUGCCUUUCAAUUAGUAGAAUAUAUUCAUCAUUCAUUGAAAGUAUGUAUAAGAUAUAUGUAAUGACAAAAAUAUUUUUGAGAUGAAAACAUAAAAACAUGUAAUGUUAUGAAAUUUAUAUGAUAUGUUAUGAUUAUUUUUAUGAUAAUUUGAGCACUUGAGAUAUAUAAUCAUGAGAUAGCAUAUUAUACCAUUUUUGUUUGAUCAUCCAUAACUUAAUCUUUUCAGACGAUUCUUCAUUCUUUUUUAUUUGAACAUGAUUUUACCAUCUUAAUUGUCUUCAUCAAAACAUCUUCUUUGAAAACUUGAAAUUAUAGAAACAAGACAUGCCAUACUUUUGAAGAUCACGAUAAACUCGAAAAUGUUACAACAAAACAACGAGGAGACAACAAUGCCAUGUACUAAAACACUUGGAUAAACAUGAUAAGUACGGUAACAAAGCACGUAGAUACUAAGUAGAUAGACUAUAAAGAUGAUAAAUACAAUUUUAUUACAAAUGAAUUUGAGACCAAUAUUGAUGAUGGCAUUCAAGAUAUAUGUGGAUUGAUGUUAGUGUUGCCUACAAUAUUUGAUUAGAUAUCAAAAGUAUUUUAUAUUUUAUGUACAAGGACUCGUGCGAUAAACAGUGUUUUAUAAAUAUUUAUCUUUUACUGAAAUAGGGUUUUAUAAGUUAUUUUGAUAUGAACUACGAAAAAUGUUGAAAUCAAUAAAAGAUAAAAUUCAGCACGGAUAACAUGAUGGUUCGAUUAUAGUGCAUAUAUCAUAACCAAAUGUUUUCUCAUGAUCAACACAUGUAGCUUUUAGUUAGAAUUCCAUAUUAUCAUGUGUCGGUUAGAAAAUAUUAGUCAUUUCUAAAUAAUAUUAUGAGAUUGAUGACAUUGGUGGAGUCAGAUAAAAAAAUUUGGGAUGACCGCUAACGUAAAGUAAAGAUUAUAAAUAAAACGUAAAUAGUAUACUUGUAAGAGCUCUUUUUGAAUUUGAUGUGAAAUAUACUUGCAAUUUUGUGGAGAAUUUUCCAACACAACUUUUGCAACUUCAUCAUUAUAGGAUGCUAAAAGUUUCAAUAACUCAAGAAAGUUACCUUGAUUUCUUGAUUUGCUACUUUCGUCGUGGCCCCUAAAAGCACAAGCUUGUAGUGUUAACCAACGAACAGUGUCAAUUGAAGUCUUGAGUCAUAACCGAUUAUUCAUUCUUUGACUUGAACUUUGCACUUGAAGAAGAAGUACGAUAGGCCAAUCUGAGGGUCGUUACUGCAAAUCUUGUUGUAACACUUCCACUGAAUCCACUAGGGGGUACUGGUACAUAAAUAGUGACUCGGCCACCUCUUGAGGGGGGGUCCCAUGUAUCAAAAUGUUGGUAAUACGUUCAACAUGCUUGUCAGUUGAGAUAUAUGAUUAUCACGAUGCUUUCUUCACUCCAAAAGCUAAUUUAGUUUAUGACGCCUUUGGACCAUCGACUACUGAAAUGGAGACAAAGCUUUGUGAUCUAGAGGAGAGGAUAAAAGCUAUCUAAGGAUCUAGUGCCUUUGGGUUGGAGACUGGAGAUAUAUGCCUAGUGCUUGGUGUAAAGAUUCCUGCUAAGUUCAAGGUCCAAGUCUUCGAAAAAUACAAAGGGGUUAGGUGUCGAAAAACCCAUAUCUGGUCCUUUUGCAUGAAGAUGGCUUCUCAUUCUUAGGAUGAGAAACUUUUAAUGCACUUCUUUCAAGAUAGCCUCAGUGGGGGAUUCACUUGAAUGGUAUAUGCAGCUUGAACGCACGCAUAUACGAACUUGGAGGGAGUUAGUUAAAUCAUUCCUGAAACAUUAUCAGUAUAAUUCAGACAUGGCUCCCAACCGGACUCAACUCUAGAGCCUCACUUAGAAAUCAGGUGAAUCAUUCAAGGAGUAUGCCCAACAGUGGAGAGACUUGGUUGCCAAGGUUCAACCUCCUCUUCUGGAAAGGGAACUGGUAGGCAUGUUCAUGAAUACCCUUUAGGGGCCUUAUCUUAAUAGGAUGGUUGGAAGCGCCUCCUCAGGUUUCUCAUACCUGGUCAUUUGUUGGUGAUCGGACUGAGAACUGUUUGAAGAUCGGUAAAAUCCAAGACACAAUUGUUGUGGCUAAGGGAGCAAAGAAACCCCACUCCGGGUCCCUAAAGACGAAGAUAGAAGAAGAAACAAGUGUUGUCAUGGAAAAUAUUCAAUCUCAGUUUCAAGCACAUGUGGAUCUCGUGCCAUGCUACCACUAUAUUGCUACGGCUCAUUACCAACAGCUUCCGCUCUAACAGCCCAAUCAGGAUCAGAUGGUCCGACGUCAUAUACAGGAACUGGUACCUCUCUUGGAUCGUCACGAUGGGGAGGGACCAACCGUGGAUGCAAAACACAAUAAUACCACUCCAGAUAACCAUCUUCUACAUCAGAUGGAGUGGUGGCCAGGGUAGAUGGAUCGAUCACAUCGAUAACACUCUGAUGGUAACUAAUCCAAUCAACAUCAAUAUCCGUCGCCAUCAUACAAUCAAGAGGUGGGGAUGGAACAUACUGCCUAUACCCGAACUGACGUAAACAUCUGUCAGGCAAGUAUGGACUGUUCACCCACUUCAAACGCCUCUUGUAAAGACAUAUUCUCAUCAAAUAGACGUCAUGCUCUAUGAUCCUCAAAUGGACGCCAUAUGACGUCGGCAGGUGUCAGCUCGUCCAAAAUAGGUCGUAAAUCAUCAACCUUCAGGACUCCUUGCCUAUACGACCAUCUCAUCGCUCGGGGAAGACCACAGUUAUCAACAGGUUUCCAAUUCUCCCCUCUUUUUCCAACAGUUGGAAAGUAUUCGUGAAUCCAACACUGUUACAAAAUACAAACAUAAUAAAUAAAUAAAAUUAAGUUAACAUAUUUUAUAAAAUGAAUCCAACACUUAAUAAACAAAAUUAAAUUAUAUACCUGUAGGAGAGUAGGAUAUCCACCGAGCUAUUUGCAACUGUACAUGGACGCAUCUCCAAGAUAUAUGUAUAGGGUAACUAGUGCAGCUGCUCCCCAACUAUAUCCUGAACAUCUAUCCAAGUCCGUAAACAGGAGGAGGUAUCGUGCCUCUACAAGUGUAAAGGUCUUAUCGGCAAAUAUGGUGGAACCCACCAACAUCAAUAGAUAUGCUCUGGUCGCAUAUGCACAGUUGGAAGCAGCUCUAUGAUGUACGAAUAAAUCGUAUAACCACUCCAACUUGUAAUACGAACUCCUGCAGCUACGGACAUGUGACUGUGACUCACCCUGUGACACUCCUAGGUAGUCAACAGGAAGCUCAACAGCUACCUCUUCCGUCACAUCCUGAGGGCUCCAGAAGAUACCCCUGAUGGGCAAGUGAAGCAGACAUGAGACAUCAUCCAAAGUAAUGUUCAUUUCACCUAACGACAUGUGAAAUGAAGAUGUCUCUAGAUGCCAUCUUUUCACAAAUGCAGAGACAAGAUUUGUGUCUAUCUUGUUCAGACUGGUUCUCUGAAGUGAAGAUAAACCAGAUCUAGAUACCCAACUCUCCAUCUAUGGUGGAAGAGCCAAUGGAACCCUAGAUGUCAACUUCAGUCCAUGUCCAGCAACCUUCAACUCUUUCUUUGGACCUCUUUCCUAAAAACAAUUAAAACACAUGUUAGAAAACACAAUAUAAAACAUUCAACUAUUAUUCAUUUUCAAAUAUAUCCCGUUUAUUUACCUCACCGAACCAUAAAUGUCGAGCAACAUGAUGCUCGUACUUCACCAAAAGAGACGUAUCGUACGGUCCUCCUGGAUAUCCAGCCGGCUUAGCUGCAGAUGAAGAUGCGCCCCGGUCUAACGUGCGGACUGGAAUCCUACCAUCUGCACCUCAUCUUCGAACCACUGCAAAUUUUUUUUAAAAAAAAAUUAUUAAAAAUUAUAAAAUAAAAAAUACGCACCGGAACACUUCAAAGAAGAGUUCCGGUGAUUUAAAAAAAAAUGAUGACUACCGGAACACUUUUUAAAAGAGUUCCGGUUUAGACCAUCCAAACCGGAAGUCUUUAAGAAAGACUUCCGGUAUACAACAAACCAAACCGGAAGACUUUCUAAAAGACUUCCGGUUCAGUAGGAACACUUUUUAAAAGAGUUCCGGUUUAGACCAUCCAAACCGGAAGUCUUUAAGAAAGACUUCCGGUAUACAACAAACCAAACCGGAAGACUUUCUAAAAGACUUCCGGUUCAGUGCCCCAAAAGGUAACAAACCGGAACUUUUUAGACAUGUGUUCCGGUAUACAUUAUGUGAACCGGAAGACUUACUAUGAGUGUUCCGGUUUACAAUACCAAAAAAUGAAAAAUUUGCUUUCCGGAAGUCUUUAGACGAAAAUGGUAAAAAAAUUUAGAAAUAAAAAUAUACGCUAUUUAUAUGAGGGUAUUUUGGUCAAAAAAAUUUAAGUGUAAGGGUGUGGGUACAAUUAUAGAAAUACGGGCUAAAGUUUUCCUAAAUAAUCCAAGGUGAAUCCAGUAUCUUAAUGGAUAUCCUAAUGGAGCGAUACACUCUCCUAUUCGAACAAAACCGAAAAUAUGCCGCCGAAUCUCCUAUCUUCAACCCUAACAUUCACCCAGUCAAGCUUGCCAUUUCUCCAUUUGAAACGAAUAUGAGCGGCCAUGAUUCCAGCUCAAUCAUCUGAAUCGACUCAAGCUUGCAAUAUCAACGCCGAUAAUUAAAUCGCAGCAACAAGGAGCGUCUAUGGUUCACGUCUUCUUAUGGUUCUACGGAUUACAUUGCAGAUCGUGACUCAGAGUAGCGUCACAUUUGGAAUUCAACAUCCUCUCAUCUCAGAAAAUUAAAACAAGACUCAAGCAGAAGUUGACUAUGCUUGAGGUUCAAUUAUCGGGAUUUAUCGUCUUCAACGCAUCGAAACAGAAACGAAAUCGAGACAAAAACUAAAAUGGAGCAAGGGAAGAACUCACCGGUUUGAAGUGAUUUCGACGCGGUUGCUCCGUCGAUGAUAAUGAACUGAAAAGGAUGGGCUUGAAUCAGGUUAUAACUCCUCUUCUCUUUGUCGCACCUAAACUCCGCCGCUAAAUCCAACUCGGAGCUCGAAUGCACUCGUCGAUGCGUAGGAUUCCGGAAUCAUUCGCUCCUCAUCAAAGCUCCAUGGUUCGGCCAAGAUUUACAAAGCUCUGAGGCUCAGUUAGAAACUCUGAUAGAUAACAGGUAUGAUUUCCCUUCUUCUUAUUCAACUCUUCAACUCUUCUGCGUUUUGAUUACUUCUGUGUCGCAUUGUGGAAUUCUGCAGAUAGAGGUUGCAGAAUCAAGGUGAAGGUUGUGCAAAACCGAAUGGUUGGAGAAGAGGUGGAGAUGGAGGUUUGAAGGUGUGUAACAGAAUGAAGGUGGUGGAGAUUGAAGAUGGAAACGAGAUCGUGGAGGUUUUUGCAAAAAUGGAAGUUUUGAUGCAGUAGAGAAAAUCCAACGCCCCAGAAGCAUACAGGUACAUUUAUAGUGAGUUUUUCCUAUUAACAGAAUCAGAUGUUGUUAGUUAUUCUCAGAAUGAAUCAGUUAAGAAAAUCGAUUAUGUUAUGACUCUGUUAAAUUUUCAGUGAGUUAGUUAAGAAAUCUGUUAGGGUUAGUUAGAAAGCUGCAAUUUCAAUUAGAUGGUUUUCAUUCCCUAUAUUGUGUUUCUGUUAUUUGAACUUCUGUCAUGGAAAUGAAUUAUGCAGGUCAUUCCAUGGUUUCUUUUCUCUAGUUUUAUGAGGAGCGCAGCAAGAUUGUGAUCGGGAUAAAGUGUGACGGCGUCAGGCUCAUCAGCCAGGACAUAUGCAACCCUAGCAAUAGUCUUCACAAGCCCUUCGAGAAAUGGUUUCACCGAAGUUCUUGAUAGCAGAAACCUCCCUUUUUUUAUAUAACAGGUGGAUGCAAUGGUUCAUGUGUGUAGGUUGGAUCUAAUGGACGUUGUACUGUAUUAAUGAAUAAUGGUUAUAAAUAUUUGAAAUUCAUAUUGGUUGUUAAAUGGAUACUUAUUAUGUUGAUUGGUUACUUAAAUGCAUUAAUGGACAUUAGAACAAAUUCUAAUACUAAUCUUUAAAAAA